GACGAACGCUGGCGGCGUGCUUAACACAUGCAAGUCGAACGGAAAGGCCCUGCUUUUGUGGGGUGCUCGAGUGGCGAACGGGUGAGUAACACGUGAGUAACCUGCCCUUGACUUUGGGAUAACUUCAGGAAACUGGGGCUAAUACCGGAGAGGAGCUCCUGCUGCAUGGUGGGGGUUGGAAAGUUUCGGCGGUUGGGGAUGGACUCGCGGCUUAUCAGCUUGUUGGUGGGGUAGUGGCUUACCAAGGCUGUGACGGGUAGCCGGCCUGAGAGGGUGACCGGCCACAUUGGGACUGAGAUACGGCCCAGACUCCUACGGGAGGCAGCAGUGGGGAAUAUUGCACAAUGGGCGGAAGCCUGAUGCAGCAACGCCGCGUGCGGGAUGACGGCCUUCGGGUUGUAAACCGCUUUCGCCUGUGACGAAGCGUGAGUGACGGUAAUGGGUAAAGAAGCACCGGCUAACUACGUG
RNAcentral lists this ribosomal RNA (468 nucleotides) under uncultured bacterium. RNAcentral describes it as "partial 16S ribosomal RNA". It matches the Rfam family "Bacterial small subunit ribosomal RNA", at positions 28 to 507 of the family's 1533-position model. The record is from RNAcentral.